This 460-nucleotide ribosomal RNA is filed under the name uncultured bacterium. Its description in RNAcentral is "partial 16S ribosomal RNA". It matches the Rfam family "Bacterial small subunit ribosomal RNA", at positions 338 to 795 of the family's 1533-position model. The record is from RNAcentral.
CCUACGGGAGGCAGCAGUGAGGAAUAUUGGUCAAUGGAUGCAAGUCUGAACCAGCCAUGCCGCGUGCAGGAAGACGGCUCUAUGAGUUGUAAACUGCUUUUGUACGAGGGUAAACGCAGAUACGCGUAUCUGUCUGAAAGUAUCGUACGAAUAAGGAUCGGCUAACUCCGUGCCAGCAGCCGCGGUAAUACGGAGGAUUCAAGCGUUAUCCGGAUUUAUUGGGUUUAAAGGGUGCGUAGGCGGUCGGAUAAGUUAGAGGUGAAAUCCCGAGGCUCAACUUCGGAAUUGCCUCUGAUACUGUUAGGCUAGAGAGUAGUUGCGGUAGGCGGAAUGUAUGGUGUAGCGGUGAAAUGCUUAGAGAUCAUACAGAACACCGAUUGCGAAGGCAGCUUACCAAGCUACGUCUGACGUUGAGGCACGAAAGCGUGGGGAGCAAACAGGAUUAGAUACCCCAGUAGUC